GGAAUAUUGGACAAUGGGCGAAAGCCUGAUCCAGCAAUGCCGCGUGAGUGAUGAAGGCCUUAGGGUUGUAAAGCUCUUUUACUCGGGAUGAUAAUGACAGUACCGGGAGAAUAAGCUCCGGCUAACUCCGUUCCAGCAGCCGCGGUAAUACGGAGGGAGCUAGCGUUGUUCGGAAUUACUGGGCGUAAAGCGCACGUAGGCGGCGAUUCAAGUCGGGUGUGAAAUCCCCGGGCUCAACCUGGGAACUGCAUUCGAUACUGCAUUGCUAGAGUAUGGGAGAGGGAAGUGGAAUUUCCGGUGUAGCGGUGAAAUGCGUAGAUAUCGGAAGGAACACUAGUGGCGAAAGCGACUUCCUGGACCAAUACUGACGCUCAGGUGCGAAAGCGUGGGGAGCAAAC
RNAcentral lists this ribosomal RNA (398 nucleotides) under uncultured bacterium. RNAcentral's name for it is "bacterial SSU rRNA". It matches the Rfam family "Bacterial small subunit ribosomal RNA", at positions 358 to 773 of the family's 1533-position model. The record is from RNAcentral.